GGAUGCAAUCAUACCAGACUUAAAGCACCGGAUCCCAUAAGAACUCCAAAGUUAUGCGUUCUUGGGCGAUAGUAGUACUAGGAUGGGUGAGCUCCUCGGAAGUACUCGUGUUGCAUUCC
Molecule: ribosomal RNA, 119 nt
Filed under: Hordeum vulgare subsp. vulgare (domesticated barley)
Lineage: Eukaryota; Viridiplantae; Streptophyta; Magnoliopsida; Poales; Poaceae
Source: RNAcentral